Molecule: ribosomal RNA, 752 nt
Filed under: uncultured marine bacterium
Lineage: Bacteria
Description: bacterial SSU rRNA
Rfam family: Bacterial small subunit ribosomal RNA
Source: RNAcentral
AGUGGCAGACGGGUGAGUAACAUGUAGGUAUCUGCCCUUUGGCCUGGAAUAACACGAGGAAACUUGUGCUAAUACCGGAUAAGUCUUUACGGAGAAAGCUUUAUGCACCAUUGGAUGAGCCUGCACUUGAUUAGUUUGUUGGUGGGGUAAUGGCCUACCAAGACUGUGAUCAAUAGCUGAUUUGAGAGGAUGAUCAGCCACAUUGGGACUGAGACACGGCCCAAACUCCUACGGGAGGCAGCAGUGGGGAAUCUUGCACAAUGGAGGAAACUCUGAUGCAGCGAUGCCGCGUGAGUGAAGAAGGCCUUUGGGUUGUAAAGCUCUUUCGUCGGGGAAGAAAAUGACUGUACCCGAAUAAGAAGGUCCGGCUAACUUCGUGCCAGCAGCCGCGGUAAUACGAAGGGACCUAGCGUAGUUCGGAAUUACUGGGCUUAAAGAGUCCGUAGGUGGUUGAAAAAGUUGGUGGUGAAAUCCCAGAGCUUAACUCUGGAACUGCCAUCAAAACUUUUCAGCUAGAGUAUGUUAGAGGAAAGCAGAGUUUCUAGUGUAGAGGUGAAAUUCGUAGAUAUUAGAAAGAAUACCAAUUGCGAAGGCAGCUUUCUGGAUCAUUACUGACACUGAGGAACGAAAGCAUGGGUAGCGAAGAGGAUUAGAUACCCUCGUAGUCCAUGCCGUAUACGAUGUGUGUUAGACGUUGGAAAUUUAUUUUCAGUGUCGCAGCGAAAGCGAUAAACACACCGCCUGGGGAGUAC